This is a non-coding RNA of Immersiella caudata, 90 nucleotides long. The record is from the annotation of a GenBank genome assembly. NCBI's taxonomy places the organism in Eukaryota, Fungi, Ascomycota, Sordariomycetes, Sordariales, Lasiosphaeriaceae.
GGUUCGUUGGUCUAGAGGUAUGAUUCUCGCUUAGGGCAACACCCAACAGCAUCUUGCGAGAGAUCCCGGGUUCAAUACCCGGACGAACCC